UACGUAGGUGGCAAGCGUUGUCCGGAUUUACUGGGCGUAAAGAGCGCGCAGGCGGUCGUUCAAGUCGCGUGUGAAAGCCCCCGGCUCAACUGGGGAGGGUCACGCGAUACUGGUCGACUCGAAGGCAGGAGAGGGUAGUGGAAUUCCCGGUGUAGUGGUGAAAUGCGUAGAUAUCGGGAGGAACACCAGUGGCGAAGGCGACUACCUGGCCUGUUUCUUGACGCUGAGGCGCGAAAGCUAGGGGAGCAAACGGG
This 254-nucleotide ribosomal RNA is filed under the name uncultured bacterium. RNAcentral describes it as "partial 16S ribosomal RNA". It matches the Rfam family "Bacterial small subunit ribosomal RNA", at positions 524 to 776 of the family's 1533-position model. The record is from RNAcentral. RNAcentral also lists the same sequence under 1 other name.